Cydia pomonella (codling moth) is the source of this 1860-nucleotide long non-coding RNA. RefSeq lists it as uncharacterized. NCBI's taxonomy places the organism in Eukaryota, Metazoa, Arthropoda, Insecta, Lepidoptera, Tortricidae. The transcript is spliced from 2 exons. The record is from RefSeq and is a predicted model, not a curated record.
AUCAAAUAUCUCAUUAGCAAAAUUUGGAAUUAGAGUUUGUGCGAGCCCCAUACCGAAAAGUUACGCCAAACGUAGGUUAAAUGCUUGGAAUCGCUGGGAAGUAUCAGUACGUCAUCAGACACACCUUAGGCAUACACGAUUCUAGCCAGACUCAAGUGUGUAUUAGUGUAACUAUCAAUGCAUGUAGGCCGAAGUAAAACGAGGCUCGCACAGUAGGUGUCGAUUAUACUAAACAAGUUGAUGAUUCUAAAGGAAGAAAAAACAUCAUUGCUCGCAUGCACAUGCAAAUAAAAAGGUGUUUGUAAAUAUCGCAAAAAAUAUCAUACGAUUAAAACUAUUUUUUUUUUCAUUACAAUGUAAUAAAAAAGUUUGGGCGCUAUCCCCAAAAAUUAAAUUAAAUUAUCAAAUAGGACGUGUAACGCACUGUUUUGUUGGUCUUGUUUAUUUCACAGAUAUAAUAAAAAUAUAUUUCGUAAACUAAAACCUUAUACAACAGGACUGUCGUGUAAAAUAUUUGUAGAUGUUGCUGAAAUGUGAGAAGGUACGAGUACGAUGACGUUGGACCGAAAAAAAUAUAAUUGACACUUAACCUAAUAAGCAGUAAUGCAAUAAUGUGUGGAGGCGGAGUGAAUUACAGUACAUGAUAUCAUACGCCACCUCUCCUUAGCGGUAACACGACGUGUCUCCUAGAUACCCAGCUAAUCUACAUUAAGUGCAGUUUACUCAGUGCGGAACUACUCAUACUCAACUAAAUUUGAAUAGUGUUCAGAGUAAUUGGUACAGAAAUAGCAUUGCUAAAAAAUACUACUUAAUUCAAAAUUCGCAAAUGUUGUUGUGUCUCCUAUUCGUAUUCGAUGAGUGGUUAGUCAUUAUGAGCACGGAACUUGAAGGUCGAUGUAAUAAAGUCGAAUGGGAGUGCCCAACCAGUAAUGGAUUACGAUGCUCGAGCCUUUGCAUUAAGCUUUCUACGUCACCGCCUUUAGUAACGUGCAAACAGAGCUGCCGUAUACGGCUCAAGGACAAGCUAAAAAACUGGUAGCUAUGUACACGAAUUCCAGUAACUGUUGUAGAUAUAUGCUUGUUUCUCCUCUUAAAUUUACUUUCAUUAGCUUAUCUUUAUAUGAUUGUGAAAUUAAAGAUAGGUAAGUAUGAAGUUAAAUAAAAUUUAAUAAAUCAGGGGAUUGGAGCAAUCUUUCAUGCGAAUAUUGAAAUAAAGUUUAAUAUACUUUCUUUUUCGGAAUGGGGUGGCAAGACAAGGGAGGGCUGCAAAUGGGCAUUUUCAUUUUAAUUAGUACUUCUAAUUUUUACUAGUGUUUGCCACACCUAACUUUGCUAUUGCUAAUGGUGUGGUGUUUGGAAUUGGUCUUCAGUUAUGUAGCGACCGCUCACCGGCCAAUGUACAUGAUUAAAUGAAAACACCCAGAUUUGUGAAUGCACUCGGCAGGCGCUUUGCCGUGUACCUCCGCCAGGUUAGUAAUAGAGGAGGACAGUCGCUGCAGCGAGGUCCGGCGCUGGGUGGUGACUAGCUUGCGCACUACGUUUAUAGGCCGUCGCAGACCGAGCAUAGCCUGGGAUGCGAAAGACUCGGAAACUGUCGCUUCUUCGCUGUCUUCCUGUAUCGAUGGGACCUUAAAACCAAACAUCCUUUUUCUACGAAAACACGGUUUCGAAGGAACUAAAUGACUAAAAUUACAUUAACUAAGCUUAACGUUAAGUUUCUGAUACAGGGAUUACUCAGAUGACUAAGUGAACAGAGCACAUAUGUCAAGUAUUACUGCUGAUAUCUGAAAUGAAUUUACUUAUUAUGUACAAUACGCAAAUAAAAAUUUUGAAAGCAAGACAUUAAAUACAUUCAUUUUA